This is a long non-coding RNA of Gallus gallus (chicken), 3067 nucleotides long. Lineage: Eukaryota; Metazoa; Chordata; Aves; Galliformes; Phasianidae. The record is from Ensembl.
AGAGUAGUCACAGUUCUGCAGGCCAGAAGGAAUGAAACACUUGGACCAUCUCGUCUCAUUGUUGGACACCACGGGCCAUAGAAUUUCAGCCAGCGAUUUCUGCAUUUUGUGCUGCAGCUAGACAACACUUUCUGGGCAACUACCCAAGCAUCAAGUCUUGCAGCAGACAUCACAACCUUGGGCAUAGAAGCUUAAUGGGGGAAGACUCUGUUUCAGUAUUACAAAUUAUAUCCACCAACCACUCAGCGUCUGCAAUGUGUGGAUGUGCUUGUUCUCCUGCUAUCCUCUUGGGGUUAAUUGAAUAUCACAUUUCAAAGCCACUUUGAUGGAUUUACCGAAGUGCAAUACAAUAAAACUAUCACAAUGUUUUUCCACGCAAUGAAGCAAAUGCAGUUCAGACUCAGAGAGGAGAAGGGUGAAGGAAAUAGGUUCUGGAUGCAAUCGUGGUGCCUUGGAGGUUGAGCCAUGGAACACAGAUCUUUCUGCUUGGCAGCUGAGCUUCCAUGCUCUACUUCAAAUGAAAGCAAAGAACAGCUUCAAAGACUGCAUCCACAGCAAAGUUUCCCCAGCAUCAAAGGUGUAGACAGGCCCUUACCAAGAUGCACAUCAGUCUUGACAUCCAGACUGCAGUGAGGCUUUCCUGGGAUCUAAUCAGGAUAUGCAUGAAAGAAAGAAAUGAAGCAGAAGUCUUGCCAGGAUUUAGAUGCUGGAUUUGGGGGUUUACAGUUCCUGUAGGAAACUCACGAUGGAAGUAAAUAUUAUAGGAUACCCUUGGUGAUAUCUUUCAGUAUCUAAAGGGGAGCUACAAGAAAUAAGGGGUCUUUAGCAGGGUCUGUGUUGAUAGGACAAAGGAGAACGGUUUCAAACUUAAAGAGGGGAUAUUUAGGUUGGAUAUAAGGAAAAAGUCUUUUACAGUGAGAGUGGUGAGGCACUGGCACAGGUAUCCCAGAGAUGUGGUUGAUUCCCUGUCCCUGGACAGUUUCAAGGCAAGGCUGGAUUGUAGAAUCAUAGAAUCAUAGAAUGGUCUGGGUUGAAAAGGACAACAAUGCUCAUCUAGUUUCAACCCCCUGCUAUGUGCAGGGUCACCAACCACUAGAACCACUGGAUCAGGCCCUGGGCAACAUGAUCAAGCUUUGGUGUCCCUGUGCAUUGCAGGUGAGUUGGACUAGGUGACCUUUAAAAAUCCCUUCCAACUUUAAGGAAUCUAUAAUUCUGUGACUCUAUGAUAUUUCACUGAAUAUAUUUAUUUUAUAUGCUCAAACUAUAUGUCAAGCCUGCUCCCAAGUUCAGGUAUGAGCUCUGAUGAGGUGGUUAAAGGAUGGUCCGUGCUAUAGUAGCUCCUUAUCCAGGCUGUGAACUCCUUGCUUCUGGUUUAAAGAAGAGGUGUGAUGCAGCUGAGAGGAGACUGAGAAGCUGCUAUUAAUAAUUUCUUGGCUGCUGACUCUCUUGCUUUCUUAUCACGUGGGUAUCUGAAUGGAUCCUCAGGAUAAGUAAAGCUGUCUGAAAGACAGUGUAUGCCUUCUCCUUUGCAGUAAUAAUUUGACAGUUUAUAUGAGGGUCCCAUGAUCAUCUCCUUUCAUAUUUUCCGAGACCCAAUAGGGCAAGUUAGCCUGCAACGAUGUGGAGAAGGAUGAGUGAAAUGGAUCGGUGAAUUUCACCCAUACACUCUAUGUAUGUUAGCUCUCAUCUUUAUCUUGAGAAUAGUAGCACAGGAAUAUCUCCAAAAGUGACAAAAAACAUCACCUAGGAUAUGUUGGUUACCAUCACAAGCUGAGAAUGGGAGAAAUGAAGCAGUGAUCUAAGAGGGAAUGGGGGUAAAAGCAUCAAUACGGUGAUGUGCACAGCCUAUGUCCAGGUGGACCACCACCCUUAGCAGUGUUUGCCACAUGGCAACAAAAAGGGCACAGGGCCACAUGUUGACUCUGUUGUAAUCAAUUGCAUGUGCAAUAGGUGGGACAUUAUUUUCUUUUCCAUUACUGCAAGCAUAGCCACAGAUCUGAUAUGCAGGGCGUCAACUCAUUUCCUGUAGUGUUUUUUUAAAGUGGUCCCAUAGAAGACCUGGUCUGGUGGUUGGCAACCCUGCACAUAGCAGGGGGGUUGAAACUAGAUGAGCAUUAUGGUCCUUUUCAACCCAGGCCAUUCUAUUAUUCUAUGAAAACAUGGUAGUCAUGUACCUUACAUACUCAAUAUGAUAUUCAGGGAUACGUGUCCAGCCCAUUAUACCCCAGUGGAUUUAAUUAGAAACAGUGGAAGGGAAAAUAGGGUUUUUUUUUGACUGCAUGAGGAGCAAAAAGCAGCUGACAAUCUUAACUAUACUUGCUCUGCAAGUCUGGUAAGAGCAAAAGCCAGUGGCUCUGAGUGGGUACACAAAUAGGCAUGAAGGUUAAGAGAAUGCCUUUUCCUAUUUACAUUAAGGAACAAAAAUAGCUGCCUCUGAAUCAUCAUUACAAUGCAAUGAUAGCUUCAAAUGCAAGCAAGGGGAUACUGCAUCUCCAGGAUGUUAGAUAUGCAGGAAGAGCAGGCUAUACAGGAAUUCAUGCUUAAUGUGAAGGCAGUGAGAUGGACAUUACCACGGUAUGAGAUCUCCGCAUCUUCCACUUUCCUGAUUCUGGACAGUAAUCAGGAAUAUAUGAUUUUAAAGGAUGUUCAUCAGGUACAUUUGUAAUCAGUGACUAAUUGUAAGUAUCCUCAUAGUUAUGUACAGCAGAAGUAUGAUGUUUCCAGGUAAAGCUUAGUGGCUCUGGGCAGCUUGGUCUGGUGGUUGGCAACCCUGCACAUAACAGGGGGUUGAAACCAGAUGAUCACUGUGGUCCUUUUCAACCCAGGCCAUUCUAUGAUUAUGUGAUUCUGUGAUUCUAUGAUUCUAUGAUUCUAUGAUAUCCACAAGAACAUGAAACAAAAUUGAUUUAAGUGAGGCCAUUAGAGACAACAGAAGUGGGGAAGUUAAAGGCUUUUACUUUGUUUUCCAGUUCUUUUUGGUGCGUUAUUCUUCAACCAUAAAGUAUAAUAGGGAAAUUCCUGCUCUUGGGGAAUUUUUAUAGAGAAAUCUGAAUCUUGAAAGACAAUC